Bicyclus anynana (squinting bush brown) is the source of this 9820-nucleotide RNA transcript. It is a transcript of the gene named structural maintenance of chromosomes protein 5, with no coding region annotated. The transcript has 20 exons. The record is from RefSeq and is a predicted model, not a curated record. NCBI's taxonomy places the organism in Eukaryota, Metazoa, Arthropoda, Insecta, Lepidoptera, Nymphalidae.
GCGGGUUUACUUGAGUCUUGCUUUUUGGUUUUUGCUUGACCGUGGCGGUUAAUUUGUAUGUGGUUUGUUUCAGUUCUAAACGUGUAAAAAAACAUGUUCAAUAUUUGAUAAUUGAAGAAUUUAGAAUAUUAUAAAAAAUGUCGCAAGUUGUCAAUACUGGCGGUAUGAGAGCAGGCUGUAUAUACAGGAUUUCCUUAAAAAAUUUCAUAACUUAUAAGGAAGUAACGUUGCAUCCUGGUAAAUCAUUGAAUUUAAUAAUUGGCCCCAACGGUACAGGGAAAUCAACAAUAGUGUCUGCCAUCAUUUUGGGCUUAGGCGGAAGCCCCAAAGCAAUCGGAAAAGAUACAAAGCUAGAACAAUUCGUGAAAACUGGAACCAAGGAGGCUACAAUAGAUAUUGAAUUGUAUCAAAACCCAGGACAGAGAAAUGUCAUUAUAACAAUGACAUUUAACCGAAGCGGUGCUCCCAGUUGGCGUAUUGAUAAUAGACCUGCAGAGAAAAAGAGAGUCCAAGCUUUGAUUGCUAGUUUACAUAUACAGGUAGAAAACCUAUGCCAGUUUCUCCCGCAACACAAAGUUCAUGAGUUUGCUGCGAAACUUCCCUCGGAGCGUUUGCGUGACACUUUGGCCACAGUUGGGCCUCCGGGGAGCGUUGAGCAGUUGGACGAACUGAAAACUCUCCGAGCUGAAAAAAAUGAUGUAGGAACCAGGCUCCAAAGCAACAAGAAAGAGUUGCAGGGGCUUGAAAGUCGACACAAUAUGCUCCAAAAAGAUAUUGAAGCGCUCCAAGAAAGAAAAGAAAAGGAAAAAGAAAUAGAACUCUGUAAAGUGAAGAAGCUGUGGCUGGACUACCAGAAGCUUAAGAAGGAUGUCGCCGAACAUUUGCGCGAAAGUAAAGAGCAAGCUAGUAAGAAGAAACAAAUUGAUAGAGUUAUAGCACCACUCGAGACAGACUUGGAGAAUGUUAAAGGGGUAGUCAAUGUAUUCGAACGAAAGCAGCAAACCAUCAAUACGGAGAUACAUAAAGUACACGAACAAGUAAGUAAGAUCAUGGACUCCAUCAGUAACAAUGUGGGACAACUUGAACUUAUUGAAUCUGCUUUUAUGAAAAAAGUGGAGAGACAUAAAAAUAGGAAAAAGGAAUUAAUAGAAGAGAAAUCAAAAUUGGACAAAUUGAAUAUGGACAAGACAUCACUAAGAGAAAGACUUGGAGACCCUAGCAACUUGCAGGCCGACCUGAACAAAACACUCAAACAGAUAAGCGUAACAAGUGCCCAGUGCAAGCACUUGAGAAGUCAGAAAUUGGACGCGCAAUACGAGAUCGACCAGAAUAUUACACCGCAGUUGCGGCAACACCAAAACAGGAUUCGUAGACUCGAAGACGUCAAUGAGAUUCGUCUAAGAACUCUAGCUGACAAAAACGAAGACACUUACAAUGCUGUCAUGUGGCUGAGAGAUAAUAUGAACAAGUUCCAACAUCCAGUGUAUGAGCCCAUGAUGCUUCAAAUAAACUUCACAGAUCCAAAGUACGCACAGUAUUUAGAAGCCACUGUGAGUGCGAGGGACCUUAUAGCUUUCACGUUUGAAUGCAAGGACGAUAUGAACCUGUUCUCUAGGUCGGUGCGCUCUCUGAACAUGAGAAUGGUGAACGCUGUGCAUAGCAGAGGAGCCCCGGAGCAGUCUGAUGAUAUCAGGCGGUUGAGCUACCUCGGUUUCCAAACUUAUCUAGUGGAUACUAUUAAAGCUCCUGACCCGAUACUGCGUUUUCUGUGCAAACAAUAUAAAAUACACAAAAUACCUAUCGGUAAUCAGCAUACAUAUGAUAACUUUGCAAAAGUGCCUCCGAACAUCACUAAGUUCUUUACAGAAAGACAUAUAUUCACCAUUCGCGUGUCCGCAUACAGUGGUGCGAAGUCUAGUUCCACCAGAGAAAUAAAGCGCGCCCGGCUUUUGGCUAACACGAUAGAUCUGGAACAAAUCUACUCUCUACAAAACGAAUUAACCGUGAUAAGGCAAAGUGAAUCAGUGAAGCGGGCAGAUAUACAAAGGUUGGACACACAGUUGCAGGACCUGGAAAAUAAUCUUAGAGAUCUUAGUGACACUAGAAAAAAUAUAGAGGGGUUACUUAAACAAAUAUCAUUAAAUGGAAGAGAAAUUAAAAUGCAAAUGGAAAAAAUCACUGAUUUGACGAACGAAUGCACUUUCGACUUGGAAGCCGAGAAAGCAGCGUGCAGAGCAAAACGCAAGGAAUCCGUUGUAAAACAACGAAAGUUGCAUCAAGAAUUGCUUAGUAUAGUGAAAGUGGUGCAGAAAAAAAUGAUCAGCAAGGAAUUAUGUUCGGUAAAAUUAAAAAUCAGCAGAGACUCAAUAGUGGAUAAGGAAGCUACAUUAAGACAGCAUAAAGAAAAAGGCCGUGAAAUGGAGGAUAUAUUGAGAGCAAUACAACAACGUCUAGAUACCGCCUCUUCGACUGCCAAACAGUUGCAAACUGAAAUAAAGCGAAGCUGUGACAACAAACUGCCGAGCGAGGCCGGCUUCCCCAACAAGUGGGCGUUCGACAGCCUGCCAAACGAUCCCCGCGCCAUAGACGACCACUGCGGGGAACUGACCACCAGGAUGAACCUCUUGGCACCGGGGGAUGAGCAAGUAAUCCAAGAAAACCAACAACUGGAAAUAAAGAUCAACAAACUGAGGUCACUAGUGAAUAAUUCCGCCAAAAAUACCAGAGAACUCGAGAACAAUUUAAGGAAAAUAAAGUCACAGUGGCUGCCGGCACUCGAGAGUUUAGUACAGAACAUCAACGUGAAGUUUGCAGAGAUGUUCCACAACCUAUCGUGUGCAGGGGAGGUCAAGAUUGUGAAGGAAGGUGACGAUGACGACUUUGAGAAGUACGGCAUCGACAUAUUGGUGAAGUUCCGUGCGGAGGAGCAACUGUCGCGGCUGACGGCCUACGUGCAGUCGGGCGGCGAGCGCGUGCUCACUACGGGCGUGUACCUCAUGGCGCUGCAGUCGCUCUCCUCCGACGUGCCGUUCCGGUAACUGUCCGCUGCUUGCACGGUCACAGCUCACACAUGCUGGUGAAGGUCCGCGCUAGGAGCGACUGUCGCGGCUGACGGCCUACGUGCAGUCGGGCGGCGAGCGCGUGCUCACUACGGGCGUGUACCUCAUGGCGCUGCAGUCGCUCUCCUCCGACGUGCCGUUCCGAUGCGUGGACGAGAUCAACCAAGGCAUGGACGCGAACUACGAGCGCCGCAUGCUGGAGAUGCUGAUACAGAUCACCACACAGAACAACGCCUCGCAGUACUUUCUGCUCACACCAAAGUUGCUGCCAAACCUGCAAUACGACGCCAAAGUGACAAUCCACACAGUGAUGAACGGAAAGCACAUAAUGAAGCAUCACAGUUGGCAACAGCAAAAUUUCCUCGCGAACGCUCGCAAAUACAAAUCUUCGUUGACAUAAAAUAUAGAUUUAUUUGUCUUGAUAUUAUGAGUAUAAGUACGACCAUUAUUUUACGCCGCUCACGAUCAUGUUGCGUGUCUGCAGUGCUCUUAAACAUCGAAAUAUAUGCUUUAGUGAUUGUUUCGAUAUAUAUUUUUUUCGCAAUGAAACUUUUUUACGCACGCUUUAAGGUCGGUUUAUAUCUACAGACACAGUGUCACAGACAAGUAGCGUGGCAGACACCCACAGACACCGUCUAUUCACACUACCCAGCAUUUAGGUAGUGACACUUAUCCUUUUCAUGAAAGAAGUCCCUCAGACGCGGCACUAAUGUCUUAAUGGCGCUCAUUGUCAUUUGGUAAUGGCGGUCUUGUUGUCAUUUGUGUAAGGCGCUGUCAAUUUUAGUUCAGGUUUCAUGAAAGGACUCCACAGAUAUGUACCGCACAGACAAAAUAUUCUUUCCGCGAAUACGCAGCCCAUGUCUGUCAACGUCUGAUAUAUAAUUACUUUAAUAAACACUGUAUAGAAGAAUAUUAUUUUGUCUGCCACGGCACGUGUCGGGCACGUUAAAUGUAGAUAUAAACGGACCUUUACAUGGGGACUAAAUUUGUGAUACGAAAAGUUUAGUCGGGCGAGGUAUUUAAGAUGAGUGCCAUCUACAGGAAUAGUGAAACAGUGUUAUUUUAAACUAUCAAUAGAUGGCGUUCUCAGAGAACUUUGAAACAAUCCCUUUUGUACACUUCAUGUGUGGGUCUUCUCCGGCGUGUGAAAGAGGCGAAGGGUUCGGGCCUCGAGGCAAUGCCUCCUUGCUAGGGUGCGUCGUGGGGUACCUUGCUCCCCCGGUACUCUCUUUCAACCCCUCCCGGGGUUGAGGCCUUUAUGGCUUAGGGGUUUGGGAUGAAAUCCGGUGGCCCGGAUUGCGAUUUUUUUUAAAGAAUAUUUGCCAUAUCUUUGCAGUUAUGCCUGAAGCUCAUAGAUGGCGUUUUGUUUUUUUACUUAAAAAAAUAGUUUUACUUCAAUCGUGUGUCAUGUCUUACUACCUUUAGCACACUCGUUUUUUUUCACCACAUCUCGAAAUGCGCUGUAGACUUCACGGUAAACUUGAUCGUGUGUGGCUGGCGUUAGUCGUCUGGCCUUAUCUAUCUAUCCAUCUCGCUCGCACUCAUUACAGUGGCCAUAAUUUUUUUAUGUAUGUAUCUCACUCUCAUUCAUUAGGAGUGCUAUUGCAUAUUGAUGUAAAAUACUAGACUAUGUGAUUUUUUUUGGUAGAAAGGAAGAGUUAUAUUUGUAAUUUAUCUAGUUAUAAAUUAAUAAUUAACUUAACAUGUCUUUAUCAUCUGCUAGUUUCUAGAAUUUCACAUUGGUGAAUAAUGUUUUUUUUAUCUCGAGAUUGUACUUUUAUCACAAUUUUGUUAUAAUAGAAAUCAAAUAUUAGUGAAAUAUUGAUGUCCAAUAGGUUAGUUGACACUUUUUUUAAAUGGUCUUAAAUAGUUCAUUAUCGUUCUACUAGAUUGAUUUUAUUUUCUACGAAAUUUUAGAACAAAAAGUUUAGGUUGUAAUAAUUAUAGGAGUAUGAGAAAACGUCUAUCACGAAACCCUCACUUUCCUCCUCAUGAAAAACGAAUCUCGUGGCUUGUUCUUUUUGUGGCACUGUAAUUAUGUGUUUUGUAGGAUGACGCGGGUGGCAAGUGUAAGUUUGACGUAACUAGUGAUGGAGAAAGCUUUAGUCGAUAAUUAAUAUCGACAGUAGUGAACGAUUUUUUGGCAGUAGUAUAAAAUACAUAUCGAUUUAGAUUAAAACGAAUGAUUCUAAAAUUAUAAAGAAAAACAAUAUUACACUUCAACUGUAUUUUUUGGAAUAAUAACGGAUAUCUCCUCUUAUAACUCGUAUAUUGAACAAAAUCCAUCUUUUUAUUCUUAUAUUGAGUAAUUAGAUUACUUAAAUCAAUAAUUAAUUUAUUAAUUUAGUUAUAACAAACAUUCGUGCCUUAGAUUAUUGCAAUUAAGAAAUUUAAUAUUUAGAAAAAUUAACAACCUAAUUUACUAAAUGUAAUUUUCAUUAUGUUACGAUCAUUGAUCUCCUAUUAAAAAGUGGAUGCACAACCAGCGACCAAAAAACGUCCCCACUCAAUGAGUGCCAAACACACCUUCUUGGCACUCAUUUCAAGUAGUCGCAUUUGCAAAUUGAACCUUAAACUCAGUCUUAUUUAAAGACCUUUAGGUAUAAUUUUCUUUAUCAAUAAUUCUAAAACUGUCAAAGCAAAACUGGCCAGUUUUGAAAUGAAAAUUUCCACGUAAUUGUGCGUCCUUUUUAACCGACUUCCAAAAAGGAGGAGGUUCUACGUUCGGCUGUAUGUAUGUUUUUUUUUUUUAUUAUAAGAGGUCAAUGGUUACGAUUUGCUUCUAAAACUAUUACUGCGUGGUCCUUCUCUAAGUUUUAUUGAUUUACCCUUCAUACAAUCAUACGACAUUAUUCGUCCUACAUUUUACUGACAUAAUAAUACGAAACUUCAUACACGUUGGUCUGCCACCCGCACCAUCAGUGGCGUGUACAAGGUUUUUAAUUAGGGUAGGCACUAUACAUAAAAACUGUACAAAAUGGAAAAUUCCUCCUCCAAUACUGGUUCAAAUUUCAGGGUAGGCUGUGCAUUUUUGGAUCUAUGAAGUGCUCACCACUGCAGCUAUCCUAUAAUGAAUUAACUAUAGCUUGGCAAAUUCGUUCGUAACACUCCCGAUGGUCCGCGCGGGCCGGGGUGCGUGUAGCGAUGAAUGAAAAACCCACGACUGAUGCACCUCAUUUCCCCGCAUGCACUAUUUCACACCCGCGCAGUCUUUCCUCCCGUCGUGUGCAUAUCAUGGGAGUGUCAUCAACGAACCUGCCAGACUUAUAGUUAGAGAUUUUGUGACCACAGAGUAAUCAAUAUACAUAAAUCGCCACGUGUAGCUAAAACUAGCUUUUCCUCAACUAGUUCUAGCCAGUCAAUAGUGUAACUUGAUGCUCCGUAAAAACACUUUGUAGGAGGAACCAGGAAAAAUGUUGGACGUACCUUGUAUUGCUUGCUGUCGUCUUUCCGGGGUACCCCUCAUUAGUAGAUAGCUGCAGGUCUGGCAAUUUCAAAUAAUGGCUGGCACUCAGACUAAAUACAUAAGGACUAGUAUCGCUUCCAAAUUCACGAACAAAAUUUUCUGCCAUUUUCUAAGGAAAACGAGCUUAGAUUUCAUACAUAUCUUAUACUAAACUAGCAGUUUUUGUUCGUUUAUUACACCAUUUAACUACACAAAAGGUAUUUUUACGGAGGUUAUUAACCGACAGACACGAUUGUAAACUAUGAAACAUCGAUUCUAUAGAGACAGUGUUUAUAACCGCAUAAGAUCGUUGAUCAUAUACUUCGACAGAAAAAUAAUGUCUUGCGAGGCAGGUCUUUAUCUAAUUAGUCUGAGGGCUGGCACGAUACGAUUGACAAAUGGAAUAUUUGAUUCAAUGCUCGUAUGAGAAUAUGAUUAUGAAAUUACAAAAAGACAUAACUUUUUAUAUACAAUUUAAACUUUAUAGUGGUUGAUCUGUGUUUGUGAUAGUUGAAACGGCCGUGAUAUACUGUGAUAUAAAAAUGUAUUUAGAACUAAGAAACUCCUUUAAAUCGCCGAUACCCACCUACUCACCAAAAGUCACGACUAAGAAGCAAACAGCUCGCGUACCAAAUAUAAGUGGAAUGAAUGGUAGGAGAACUCAUGAUGCUAAAAGUGUACUUACUCGAGCGCUUCGGUCAGGGAUCUUUAGAUAUAGUAGAUUAGAUGAUACGGUACCACUUUUUGUUUUGUACAAUAAAAAAAAGUAUAAAUGGUUAGAUACAAUUACCACUUUUAGACGUGGGGUAAAAACUAAAGACUUUGAUGACAAUUUUUAUUAUUUCGACUUGUUGUAAAUAAAAAAAUUAACUACGCCCAUGACUCUAGAAUAGAAAUUUUGCAAACUUUGUAACUUUUUUACUUUAUAUUUUAAACAGUCGAACUGUUCAGUUAAAUCGAUUGUGUGUAAACAAAGAAAGAAUAAUAUCUUAACAUGAAGCAUGAUGGUCUGUAGCCCGCGUUAGGUUCGGUCCAACUUAUUAGCUAUUAGCUAAACCACUUUUAAGUACCCUUAUUUGAUAUAUUGUCUGUGUAUUUCUAAAUUAUUUUUGUUGCCAUAAGCGCUUAUAAUCCAGUCAAAUAAGACUUUCCAUAGAGCUAAAAAUUGGUAUGAAUCACGGAAAUGGCAAUGCUUAUGGAAAAAAGUGUGGAAACAAUUUUUGUAGAGAAUCGGAUGAUCUACAACCUUUGGCUGAACUAUUUUUGUUGUAAAACUUACCGGAAAAAUUCGAAAAACCUAUUUUUGCAAACUUUCGCUAUCAAUUUUUUUUACACGAGGGGGAUCGAUGAGGACUUUUCACAAUUAAUUUAUAAUAGUAUUCUGAACAUUCAUAUCAAUUUUUAGCUGUAUUGGAAUUAUUGUAACCUUACUUCUAUUUUAAGGAUUAAUUUAACUGGACUAUUAUUAUCUAAGCUUUUAAGUCACGAACGCAUUUAAACGAAAAACCAUUUACGCCGUUGACGCAUUUAAACGAAUGGAAUAUUGAAUAGUUUCAAAUAACUUGAAUUUUAUCUAAAGAUUCAAAUUCUUUCUUCAGAGUCUAUGCGCACGAAUUACGCGAAAAAUACUUUGGCAAUAUCGUUUUAUGUAGAUCCAGAGAUUACUCCCCACAAUACCACAAACCUCUUUAUAAUAUACUCAGAGGCGCAAAUAUCCGCCUACUUUAAUAUACUGCGCGUCAUAUUAAAGAGGGCGGAUGUAUGUGCCUCUGAGUAUAUAUAUAGUAGAUUAAAUAUGAAUAACAGUCGCGAUAGUUAAAAUUGUAAAACAGAUUUACUUGUAAAAAACCUAUGAUUGCAAAGAAUACUUUGCCAUGUUGUCUCUUCGAUAUGCGACACUGUGUAUGUACUUACUUAUGUUUAAUUGUUUAGAAAACUUUUUCUUACAUUGUUGAUUAAUUAUUAUUAUUACAUUAUGUACAUACCUACAUAUUAAUGUUACGUACGCGUAGUUUUAAUGUUUUAUCAAAUAAGUACGUAAAUUUUUAUAAUGUUUUGGUAGAAUAUUCUUACGUUUCGUUGCUGGUUCUUUUAUGUCGCUAUGAAGUACUUUCGGACGCGUCCCAGUGGUGACUUUGGACGCAAUUACAUGUUUAUUUCUUUUACUGAAUACCAAAUAUAUUUUACUAAUAAAAUUGAUACCAAAAUUGAAAUUGUAUAUCACAAACGGCAUUUACGAAUUUAUGGAUUUUAACACGCUUUUCCUAGUAUAAAAAUUCAUUGUAAACCAAUAGCAGCAGAGUUCCAAUGGCGCUUUCCCUUUCGGUUUUGUCCCAUCGGAAUGAAACGGUGCUAUAUUUUUGAUUCUGCUGCUUUUGGCCGAUAUUUUGUCUUUUUGUCCUCGAGAUAUGAUGUCGUGGUGCGCCAUCUAUAUCUUUGGCUUACUUCUAACAUAUUAUGCUGAGGCACAGCAGACGCUAAACCCCAUCGAUGCCAAAGUUUUAACAAGAGGUCGGAGUUUCGUCCCCGUUUGUAUUUUUAGCCCUCACUUAUAUGAAUCAUUAAUAUAACUCUCUACACACGGCGCUUGACGCCGGUUAGUGGCGUGCAUAAGUUAGUCAAUCAGGGUAAGCACUAGUGAGAAAAUUUAACCAUACUGGGUAAAACAACAUUUAAUAAGUAUUAAGAAAAAACAUCUCUCAGGGUAAGCAGUACUUUAAUGCACGUAUGACCACCACAAAACUAUAAAAAGUCAUUCAAGUACGUCCACUAAUCCGCAUCGAACGAUUUUAUCUACAGGUAAAUUAAAAAUGUGUUUGUAGUUAGACGUCUAAAAUUUUAGUUGUUAAGAAAUUCUAUUGUAUUUUAAUUUACAACUAGUGGUUUCACUUGCGUGGUGCCCAUACCCGUAGGAGUACGGGGAUGAAAUAUAGUAUAUAGUACUAAUAUAUAAUAUAUAGUACUCGGGGAUAGUAUAGGUCAGGGUUUCUCAAAGUGGGGUACACGAACCCUCAGGGGUUCGCCAUUCGAGGGCAGGGGGUACGCUACAAGAUACAAGCACACCCAACACAUUAAUAUUACAAAGACAUUUCUUUUGGUACUUUAUGUGUUACCUUUUAUUCAAAUAAAAACCUUAUUUUUCCAAAACACCAUUAAAAAUUAAACAAAAUAUCACGUUUUGUAAGUAUAUAUUUUUAUGUAGUACUGUUUUAAAUGUAUUAAUAUUACAUUAAUAUUGUGAUAAAUGUUUCAUAUAUGUGUAUAUUUAUUGUAUAAAAAUGUUAAUAAUUACAAUAAAUAUUAUUGAUUAUUUUUA